RNAcentral lists this ribosomal RNA (460 nucleotides) under uncultured bacterium. RNAcentral describes it as "partial 16S ribosomal RNA". It matches the Rfam family "Bacterial small subunit ribosomal RNA", at positions 338 to 795 of the family's 1533-position model. The record is from RNAcentral.
CCUACGGGUGGCAGCAGUGAGGAAUAUUGGUCAAUGGACGAGAGUCUGAACCAGCCAAGUCGCGUGAAGGAUGACUGCCCUAUGGGUUUUAAACUUCUUUUAUAAAGGUAUAAAACGAGGCGCUUGUGCCUUUUUGCAUGUACUUUAAGAAUAAGCAUCGGCUAACUCCGUGCCAGCAGCCGCGGUAAUACGGCGGAUCCGAGCGUUAUCCGGAUUUACUGGGUUUAAUGGUAGCGUAGUGGGGUUGUUAAGUCAGUUGUGAAAUUUGGGGGCUCAACCGUAGAACUGCCAUUGAUACUGGUAGACUAGAGUACAGGAGGGGUAGGCGGAAUUCCUGGUGUAGCGGUGAAAUGCGUAGAUAUUAGGAGGAACACCGAUUGCGAAGGCGGCUUACUAGACUGUAACUGACAUUGAGGCACGAAAGCGUGGGUAGCAAACAGGAUUAGAUACCCCAGUAGUC